Felis catus (domestic cat) is the source of this 654-nucleotide long non-coding RNA. RefSeq lists it as uncharacterized. The record is from RefSeq and is a predicted model, not a curated record. NCBI's taxonomy places the organism in Eukaryota, Metazoa, Chordata, Mammalia, Carnivora, Felidae. The transcript is spliced from 2 exons.
CUCUGGCACACAGCACUCGGCUGCCUCUCCAAGACAUCCAGUAAGAGGGUCACGCGAGCCGUGUCAGGAGCUGGCCCGAGGCUUCCACGGCUCACAAACCCUUUCCUGAGCAACCUUUGUGCUGCUGUCAACGCUUUUGGAAUGCAGAUGUAAUGACUGGAGCUCAAGCAGCCAUCAUGAAUCAGGAGGCAAUCUGCUAUAGAUGGAAGAGCUGCAAGACCUAAGGAACCUGGGUCUAGGAUGACACUGAUUCCACCAUACCAGCCGUACACUGCCUACCUCUUCACUUUUUCAUGAGAUGAAAACAUAUAAACCCUUAUCGUUCAAGCCAUUUUAUGCAGGGGUUAUCUACUGUAUGCAACCAAAUCUAGCCCUAAUACACCUUCUCAUCCCCAAAAGUCAAAACUGAACCUGUAUCUCUCCUUCCUUAAGACAGAUAAAAACAAAGCCUCUAUGUUUCAUUUCCUCUGUGUUUAUUUAAGUGUCCUAAACAUGGAACACUUAUUUCUUCACUCUCUCAUCCCUUCUCCCAACCUUAGGUUUUGCAAAGGUGGUUUAAAAUUUUUGUUUUCAGCCUAUUAUGUUUUGCCAUGCAGCAGUUCUCCUCUAUCUUAAAAACUGUUAACAAGUUAACACAAUAAAAACUCCGAUGCA